GUCUACGGACAUACCACCCUGAACGCGCCCGAUCUCGUCUUAUCUCGGAAGAGUAGGAUCCCCCAUCCAGGUUCCCAUUAAAAUGCCCAUUAAAAUGGGGAUUCGUUGGUU
Ribosomal RNA from Panthera pardus (leopard), 111 nucleotides. Lineage: Eukaryota; Metazoa; Chordata; Mammalia; Carnivora; Felidae. The record is from Ensembl.